This 753-nucleotide long non-coding RNA is filed under the name Salmo salar (Atlantic salmon). RNAcentral's name for it is "lncRNA (ENSSSAG00000113587.1)". The record is from RNAcentral. Lineage: Eukaryota; Metazoa; Chordata; Actinopteri; Salmoniformes; Salmonidae.
GAGGACACAGUGAGCUCUGACCUCACCACAGGCGUGUCAACCAUCCCCAAACCUCGCCGCGGACGCCCCCAAGGCCACACCCUCCCCUCUGGCCAAUGAGAAGGAAGGGAGGGGCAGCCAAAGGCAGGAAGAGGGCGGCACCAGCCCAGGACUCCGCCCCUCGGGGAGGUAAACUCCAUCAAGAUCCCUAAAGCUGAAGAGGAGAGACAGAUCCUAGACCUGCAGAGGUGAGGAAGAGGAGAGGCAGAUCCUAGACCUGCAGAGGUAAAGAGCAGAUCUCUGCAGCCCAGAUCAAGAUCCUAAAGAAACACUCUGAAGCUCUUCAGGUCUCCCCCAUCUCUCCCUCCACCCCUCUCUCCCCCUCUCUCUCUGUAAUCCCCACUCUCUCUCUCUCAACCCUCUCUCUCUCUCUCUCUUCUCCUCUCUCUCUCUCUCUGUAAUCCCGCCUCUCUCUCUCUCUAAUCCUCUCUCUCUCUCUGUAAUCUCUCUCUCUCUCUAAUCCUCUCUCUCUCUCUCUAAUCCACUCUCUCUCUCUCUCUGUAAUCUCCUCUCUCUCUCCCUCUCUCUGUGUAAUCUCCUCUCUCUCUCUCUAAUCUCCUCUCUCUCUCCUGUAAUCUCCUCUCUCUCUCUCUGUAAUCUCCUCUCUCUCUCUGUAAUCUCCUCUCUCUCUCUCUGUAAUCUCCUCUCUCUCUCUGUAAUCUCCUCUCUCUCUGUGUAAUCUCCUCUCUCUCUCUGUAAUCUCCUCUCUCUCUC